GGUGAACCUGCGGAAGGAUCAUUCGCGC
RNAcentral lists this ribosomal RNA (28 nucleotides) under Cladocopium sp. clade C. Its description in RNAcentral is "partial 18S ribosomal RNA". Lineage: Eukaryota; Dinophyceae; Suessiales; Symbiodiniaceae. The record is from RNAcentral.